RNAcentral lists this ribosomal RNA (640 nucleotides) under uncultured bacterium. Its description in RNAcentral is "bacterial SSU rRNA". It matches the Rfam family "Bacterial small subunit ribosomal RNA", at positions 338 to 971 of the family's 1533-position model. The record is from RNAcentral.
CCUACGGGUGGCAGCAGUCGAGAAUCUUUCACAAUGGGGGAAACCCUGAUGGAGCGACGCCGCGUGGAGGAUAAGGUCUUCGGAUUGUAAACUCCUGUCAUGCUAGAGUAACGUUUUAAGAGUAACUGCUUAAAAUUUGAUAGUACCGCAAGAGGAAGAGGCGGCUAACUCUGUGCCAGCAGCCGCGGUAAUACAGAGGCCUCAAGCGUUGUUCGGAAUCACUGGGCGUAAAGGGUGCGUAGGUGGCGUGGAAAGUCAGAUGUGAAAUCCGGGAGCUCAACUCCCGAAUUGCAUCCGAUACUCCCAUGCUAGAGAACUGGAGGGGGAUCUGGAAUUCUCGGUGUAGCAGUGAAAUGCGUAGAUAUCGAGAGGAACACUAGUGGCGAAGGCGAGAUCCUGGACAGUUUCUGACACUGAGGCACGAAGGCUAGGGUAGCGAACGGGAUUAGAUACCCCGGUAGUCCUAGCAGUAAACGGUGCACGUUUGGUGUGGGAGGAUUCGACCCCUUCUGCGCCGGAGCUAACGCGUUAAACGUGCCGCCUGGGAAGUACGGUCGCAAGAUUAAAACUCAAAGAAAUUGACGGGGACCCGCACAAGCGGUGGAGUAUGUGGCUUAAUUCGAUGCAACGCGAAGAACCU